Molecule: small nuclear RNA, 109 nt
Organism: Monodelphis domestica (gray short-tailed opossum)
Lineage: Eukaryota; Metazoa; Chordata; Mammalia; Didelphimorphia; Didelphidae
Source: Ensembl
GUGCUGACUUCGGCAGCAUUUCUACUCAAACUGGAAUGAUACAGAGACAAUUAGCACGACCCCUUUGCAAGGACAAUGUGAAAAAUUUGCAGUUACUUAAAAAAUGCUC